This is an RNA transcript of Magnolia sinica, 1140 nucleotides long. RefSeq lists it as uncharacterized. The transcript has 4 exons. Lineage: Eukaryota; Viridiplantae; Streptophyta; Magnoliopsida; Magnoliales; Magnoliaceae. The record is from RefSeq and is a predicted model, not a curated record.
UUCAAGUGAUUGAAUUUGGUAAUUUACCUCAUGAACUGUGAAUCCCACUGUGGAUGGAGCAUAUCACUAAAAAUCAACUUACCAAAAGCAAUUCUAACCAUCUAAUUAAUUGCUAUCAAAUGGAUGGUUCAAAGUAAAAUAGUGUGUGGCUCAUAUUUGAAGAGAGAAAAAAUCAAAUGGUUAAACUUAUUUUCUCACUGCACUUUUCACUUAUGCUCCAUACACAAUUGAGUCAAUGAUUUCGGUGGUCCAGAUUGCAUUACAAGUAUGCCACGUUAUAUGUAAUUUCUCACUCGUGUGCCAUAUUUCUAAUCACCAUAUAUAGUACAAACUAUUUUCUUUGAAUUUAAAUUACAAACAUUUAUAAUAGAUGUUUAUGAUAGAUUAUUCUCAUUUUUGGAGUCAAUGAAGUACACUUCUGUAAUAUCAAUCCACUGCGACUGAUAUAUUGAGUAUAUAAUCAUCACAAUGGGAGGAGCUUCAAGGUGGGUUUAAGCAACUAGAUUUGCAGCAUGUGUUCAUAUUUGGCAGUGUCACUUGCAUCCUAAUAUGGGCCACAUAUAAUCAGAAUCCUUCUUGUCCUCAGUGCAAGCAUCUGUUUCAAUUUCUCAGCGUUCAUCGAUCACCAGAUGGAAGGUGCUCCUGUCAAUUUUAGAGAAGUUCUUCUCCAAGUUUCUAAACUUGCCUGAUGUAAAUAGGAGGUUGAGGAAGAUCAUCUCCAUCCUCUCAACUGACCAGCCUCCCUGCCCUCAGCUAUAUAUGUACAGCACAGCUGACAAGGUCAUUCCAGUUAGAUCGGCAGAGUCUUUUAUUCAGGAGCAGAAGAAAUCUGGGAGAAAGGUAUGGUGAAUCAUACCUAGGCCAAAAUGGGACUAACCAAGAUCUGUUUUCUGAAUAGUUCUUUACUUUUUUCAAUUGCAUUAUUAAUAUAGCUACACUUUCUAUUUCUUGUUAUGACUAAUACAUCAAUUUGCAGGUGAAACCAAAUGCAAUGGUUAAGGACACAACUUUCUUGGGGGCAUCGCUCUUCGAUCAUCUCAAACCCGACUUCAAUCCUCUUAUCAUGAAGAGCAAGGUUUGACUCCAAAAAUGAGAGGUAGACUUUAUAUUGUUUGCUUUACUUCACCCUACCUUCAACUG